This is a non-coding RNA of Drosophila melanogaster (fruit fly), 614 nucleotides long. NCBI's taxonomy places the organism in Eukaryota, Metazoa, Arthropoda, Insecta, Diptera, Drosophilidae. The record is from Ensembl.
CUGAUCUCUUGAAAAUUAAAGAAUGAUCUUCAUUAUUAAGUUUAAGUCUCGGUGUAAUAUCUUUCGGUUAAUUUACAGAUGAAUCGGCAAUCAAGUGUUUGCUAAAAAUGGUCUAGUUAUAUCAUUAAAUUUUUAUUUUGUGCAAAUCAACACAUCAUAAAUAUAACAAUGCCAAACAAUAGCAUCGAUGAGUUGUCGCAGUACCGCAGCCAAGUCGUCCUGGUAAAGAGGGCGUCUAAAAACUUUUGUAACCCAUAACCCCCGCGAGUUAAAGGGCUUGCCAAUGUCUCUGAUAUUGCGAUUCAAUGUGUCCAAGCAAUGUGAUGGACACAUCAAAAGCAACUGUAAAGCUUCCUGGGUCUGGUUGGAUACUUUCGAAGGUUUACCCAGUACCUUUCAGUCAUUUAUUAGACUUUGAUUACACAGAAACCUCGAUCUCGAGUUGGAGAUCCUGUUAGUCGUAGAAGCAUUCCGAAAGUUCCGAGUACAAAUGGGAAAUCUGCACAACCCAGAUAGACACGGCUAGUGAUCCUGAUAAAGAAUAUAUAUUUACUUUACAUGUUAACAAUUUUUUAGCGAACUUUGUAUACCACUUUUACUCUAAAAGAAAACUA